Molecule: ribosomal RNA, 342 nt
Filed under: uncultured bacterium
Lineage: Bacteria
Description: bacterial SSU rRNA
Rfam family: Bacterial small subunit ribosomal RNA
Source: RNAcentral
UCUGGGCGUAAGCGCGCGCAGGCGGCUGUGCAAGAUCGAUGUGAAACCCGGGCUCAACCUGGGAAUUGCCUUGUGUGACUGCUUGGCUAGAGUGUGGAAAGGGGGGUAGAAUUCCGCGUGUAGCAGUGAAAUGCGUAGAUAUGUGGAGGAACACCGAUGGCGAAGGCAGCCCCCUGGACUAACACUGACGCUCAUGCGCGAAAGCGUGGGGAGCAAACAGGAUUAGAUACCCUGGUAGUCCACGCCCUAAACGAUGUCAACUAGGUGUCGGGGAUUCUUUUCCUUAGGAAGGCACCUAACGCGUGUUAGUUGAUCGCCUGGGGAGUACCGGCGCUAAAUGUU